This 249-nucleotide non-coding RNA is filed under the name Clostridium bornimense. RNAcentral describes it as "T-box sequence". It matches the Rfam family "T-box leader". From Rfam's summary of the family: Uncharged tRNA acts as the effector for transcription antitermination of genes in the T-box leader family. T-boxes are found upstream of many aminoacyl-tRNA synthetase genes and some amino acid biosynthetic genes usually in Gram-positive bacteria. The anticodon of a specific tRNA base pairs to a specifier sequence within the T-box motif, and the NCCA acceptor tail of the tRNA base pairs to a conserved bulge in the T-box antiterminator hairpin. The record is from RNAcentral. Lineage: Bacteria; Bacillati; Bacillota; Clostridia; Eubacteriales; Clostridiaceae.
AUAAAGAUAGUGAUGAGAAAUAGUAUCUUUAAAUGAUUCUUUUAGAGAGCUGAAGAUGGUGGAAAUUCAGUAGAUAGUUUAGAGAGAAGCAGUCUUUGAAUCUCAUGCUGAGAACUAGAAAAGUUUUUCUAAUGUAGGCAUUGACGUGAUCCUCGCGUUAUAGAGGAUGGAUUAUUAUAAUCUAGCUGAGUGAGCAGUAAUUUUAUUGCUUAUUAGGGUGGUACCGCGAAGUAAACCUUCGUCCCUUUU